AUUGAACGCUGGCGGCAGGCCUAACACAUGCAAGUCGAACGGAAGCACAGAGAGCUUGCUCUCGGGUGACGAGUGGCGGACGGGUGAGUAAUGUCUGGGAAACUGCCCGAUGGAGGGGGAUAACUACUGGAAACGGUAGCUAAUACCGCAUAAUGUCGCAAAACCAAAGAAGGGGACCUUCGGGCCUCUUGCCAUCGUCUGUGCUCAGUUGGGAUUAGCUUGUUGGUGAGGUAAUGGCUCACCAAGGCGACGAUCCCUAGCUGGUCUGAGAGGAUGACCAGCCACACUGGAACUGAGACACGGUCCAGACUCCUACGGGAGGCAGCAGUGGGGAAUCUUGCACAAUGGGCGCAAGCCUGAUGGAGCCAUGCCGCGUGUGUGAAGAAGGCCUUCGGGUUGUAAAGCACUGUCAGCGGGGAAGAAGGAGAGACGGUGUAUAACCGUGUUGAUUGACGUUACCCGCAGAAGAAGCACCGGCUAACUCCGUG
This 488-nucleotide ribosomal RNA is filed under the name uncultured bacterium. Its description in RNAcentral is "partial 16S ribosomal RNA". It matches the Rfam family "Bacterial small subunit ribosomal RNA", at positions 30 to 507 of the family's 1533-position model. The record is from RNAcentral.